RNAcentral lists this ribosomal RNA (466 nucleotides) under uncultured bacterium. RNAcentral's name for it is "partial 16S ribosomal RNA". It matches the Rfam family "Bacterial small subunit ribosomal RNA", at positions 28 to 507 of the family's 1533-position model. The record is from RNAcentral.
GACGAACGCUGGCGGCGUGCCUAACACAUGCAAGUCGAACGAACGAGACAGCGCUUGCUUUCUCGAUCGAGUGGCGCACGUGUGAGUAACGCGUGUGGAACCUGCCUCAACGAGGGGGACAACAGUUGUAAACGACUGCUAAUACCGCUUAUUCCCACGACCCGGCAUCGGGUAGAGGGAAAAGGAGCAAUCCGCUUUGAGAUGGCGUCGCUCCCCAUUCGCUAGUUGGUGAGGUAACGGCCCACCAAGGCGACGAUCGGUAGCCGGACUGAGAGGCUGAACGGCCACAUAGGGACUGAGGCACGGCCGAGACGGCGACGAGUGGAAGAAGUGGGGAAUACUGAAGAAGGGGGGAAGCGCGGAUGAAGCGACGCCGCGUGGAGGAAGAAGGUCUUCGGAGUGAAAACGCCUGUUGUUGAGGAAGAUAAUGACGGUACUCGAAGAAGAAGUGACGGCUAACUACGUG